GGCUCCGUAGCUCAAUUGGAUAGAGCAUUCGCCUUCUAAGCGAACGGUUCCUGGUUCGAGUCCAGGCGGGGUCGCCA
Molecule: transfer RNA, 77 nt
Filed under: bacterium
Lineage: Bacteria
Description: tRNA-Arg
Rfam family: tRNA
About the family: Transfer RNA (tRNA) molecules are approximately 80 nucleotides in length. Their secondary structure includes four short double-helical elements and three loops (D, anti-codon, and T loops). Further hydrogen bonds mediate the characteristic L-shaped molecular structure. tRNAs have two regions of fundamental functional importance: the anti-codon, which is responsible for specific mRNA codon recognition, and the 3' end, to which the tRNAs corresponding amino acid is attached (by aminoacyl-tRNA synthetases). tRNAs cope with the degeneracy of the genetic code in two manners: having more than one tRNA (with a specific anti-codon) for a particular amino acid; and 'wobble' base-pairing, i.e. permitting non-standard base-pairing at the 3rd anti-codon position.
Source: RNAcentral